Molecule: transfer RNA, 77 nt
Filed under: Candidatus Berkelbacteria bacterium CG10_big_fil_rev_8_21_14_0_10_41_12
Lineage: Bacteria; Candidatus Berkelbacteria
Description: tRNA-Met
Rfam family: tRNA
About the family: Transfer RNA (tRNA) molecules are approximately 80 nucleotides in length. Their secondary structure includes four short double-helical elements and three loops (D, anti-codon, and T loops).
Source: RNAcentral
GGCAGAGUAGCUCAGUUGGUUAGAGCACAGGACUCAUAAGCCUGGGGUCGAGAGUUCGAAUCUCUCCUCUGCCACCA